Molecule: long non-coding RNA, 1065 nt
Organism: Homo sapiens (human)
Lineage: Eukaryota; Metazoa; Chordata; Mammalia; Primates; Hominidae
Source: Ensembl
UUGCCAUGCCCUCUGAGUCUCGCCCUGCCCACCUCUGCACUCUGUCCUCAUUGUCUCACUUCCAUGCUCCUCUUGGGGACACUUGCACAGCUUGCUGCCCCGUGAAUGCUCCAUGUCCCCUUUUCAGUUCCAGGUUGUUCCUCUGCUGGAAGAGCACGUGCCUCGCCUGGCCUCUUUGUCUGGACACCUUCUUUUCUUUAAGAAUCCACCCAGGAAUGGCUCCUGACGCUUCCAGAUUUCCUAGCACUGGGCCUUAUAACAGCAUUUCUUAAAAUGGGGUCCCCAGUCCAACAGCAUCAGCAUCACAUGGGAAUUUGCUAGAAAUGCAACUUUUGGAGCCCUCCUUGGACCUCUGGGAUCUAAAACUCUGCAGAACUGAUGCUAUGAGAAGCCCAAGCCAUGGAGAGGCCCUAGGCAGGUGCUCUGGUCAACAGCCCAAGCUAAAUGCCCAGCCAACACCAGCAUCUGCGGCCAGCCGUUGAGAACACGAGACUUUUGAAAAAACACAGACGAUGAAACUAUGUGCUCUUUCAGCCAAUACAAUGUGGGAAGUUUUUCUGUUUGUUAAAAUAAUUCAGGUCCUUACAGGGUAGCUUGGUGUAAAUGUGGCCACAGACUCUCAGUUUGGGUCCUCUCAUCUGGUCCUCCACCGUCUAAGGCCAGCACACCAUUCCUGAAGCCCAGCUUCACACCCUGGAUUUUACCCCUCAUCCCUUGAGGACCCGAAGACAAACAGCCUUGUCAACGCACUAGUGCUUUGUCUCACCUCAACUGCAAAGUGGCCAUGGGGUCUUCACCAGCAGCUGGGGAGGAUGCUCCAGAAACUGGCCCUGAUAGCUUUGCCCUGUAACUUGACUGGAUUGCAACCACUAUGGGUGAGAUAAACAUGAUCUCUAAGGCUCUUUUUCAGUAUUGAAAUUACAUGUAUGUCUGAUCACUUUAAAGAAAAAUGUGAAUUUUUUCUUUAUUAAAACAAUUUUCCUUUGUCCUUAUGGAUCAUUUGUCAUAUUUUGCUUCAAUCAAGAGUUGGGUCAGACACAACCACUGGGCAGCUGACACGAGAUC